GACGAACGCUGGCGGCGUGCCUAAUACAUGCAAGUAGAACGCACAGUUUAUACCGUAGCUUGCUACACCAUAGACUGUGAGUUGCGAACGGGUGAGUAACGCGUAGGUAACCUGCCUGGUAGCGGGGGAUAACUAUUGGAAACGAUAGCUAAUACCGCAUAAUAUUAAUUAUUGCAUGAUAAUUAAUUGAAAGGUGCAAUUGCACCACUACCAGAUGGACCUGCGUUGUAUUAGCUAGUAGGUGAGGUAACGGCUCACCUAGGCGACGAUACAUAGCCGACCGGAGAGGGUGAGCGGCCACACUGGGACUGAGACACGGCCCAGACGCCUACGGGAGGCAGCAGUAGGGAAUCUUCGGCAAUGGACGAAAGUCUGACCGAGCAACGCCGCGGGAGGGAAGAAGGUUUUCGGAUCGUAAAGCUCGGUUGUAAGAGAAGAACGGGUGUGAGAGUGGAAAGUUCACACUGUGACGGUAUCUUACCAGAAAGGGACGGCUAACUACGUG
Molecule: ribosomal RNA, 505 nt
Filed under: uncultured bacterium
Lineage: Bacteria
Description: partial 16S ribosomal RNA
Rfam family: Bacterial small subunit ribosomal RNA
Source: RNAcentral